Diceros bicornis minor is the source of this 737-nucleotide long non-coding RNA. RefSeq lists it as uncharacterized. The transcript is spliced from 3 exons. NCBI's taxonomy places the organism in Eukaryota, Metazoa, Chordata, Mammalia, Perissodactyla, Rhinocerotidae. The record is from RefSeq and is a predicted model, not a curated record.
CAGUCUAAGGGGCUCUGUCUGAUGGACUCUGGCUGUCUGCCUUCCAGGGGAAUGAGAUCAACCUUGAGAAGAGGACUGAGGAAUACCGAGUCAUGAGGGAGAUCCUACUGCUCCAGGUCGCUGCAAAGAAUUAUAACGAGACUCCGAGGAGUGAUUUGGGGUCUGGUUCCAGGACAUGGAGCUGCUCAACGAGAAUGAGUCAAACACCAAGGGUAGAGGUCUUCAAGAGAUCAAGUCUAAUCUACCUACGGGUGUGGCAGGCUUAACUAUGGAUGUUCAAGCCAGACAUUGCCAGAAGAACUUCAUCUCUUCACCCAUAGGUGAGUUUUUACUAGUAAUCACAGAAACUUAAGGAUAUCAAAGGAAAUUUUUUAUUAAGAACCCAAGUUAUAGAUUCCUCUCUUAGGUUCAUUACUUUGAAUUUUUGACUCAAAUCAUAUAUAUCGAUUGGACCAUGUUCAAUUCUAUGAUCUUUAGAAGAUGCAGCCUACAGCUGAAGAGAAACAGAUACAACACCAAUAUCUUAUCCUCUCUGAAGCCAAACUGAGAGCCCCUGAAGUCAGAAGUUUUCAAGAAAAGAAAAAGUCAUCUGUCUUCGGAAGAGAGACAGUAGAGGCUAGUCAAACAUUCAACUUUAAAUUGUUAACAUGACUUGUUACAAUGUGAUGGAGCACACCUUCUAAGUUUCAUGAUUUUUCUCCAGAAUAUUGAGAUGGAUGACCUUGAAGUCCAGUUUC